UGAAUACGAGAUGCUACGGCGUCGAAGCAGUCUAUGUCAUACUUCCAAGAAAAGCUUGCACUGUCAUAAACAAAUAAUGCCUGUACCAUAACCGACACAGGUGGGUAGGUAGAGUACACUAAGGGGCGCGAGAUAACUCUCUCUAAGGAACUCGGCAAAAUGACUCCGUAACUUCGGGAGAAGGAGUGCCUUAUUUUAUAAGGUUGCAAUAACAAGAUCCAAGCAACUGUUUACCAAAAACACAGGUCUCCGCUAAGUCGUAAGACAAUGUAUGGGGCUGACGCCUGCCCAGUGCCAGAAGGUUAAAGAAGUUGGUUAGCAUCCGCGAAGCUGAUAACUGAAGCCCUGGUGAACGGCGGCCGUAACGAUAACGGUCCUAAGGUAGCGAAAUUCCUUGUCGGGUAAGUUCCGACCCGCACGAAAGGCGUAAUGAUUUGGAUACUGUCUCAGAGAGGGGCUCGGUGAAAUAGACUUGUCUGUGAAGAUGCGGACUACCUGCACCAGGACAGAAAGACCCUACGAAGCUUUACUGUAACUUGAAAUUGAAAUUGGACUUUACUUGCGCAGUAUAGGUGGGAGGCGUUGAGAAUAUUCUUGCGGGAAUGUUGGAGCCAUCAGUGAGAUACCACUCUUGUAAUGUUAGAUUUCUAACUUUGUAUCAUUAUCUGGUCAAAGGACAGUUUCAGGCGGGCAGUUUGACUGGGGCGGUCGCCUCCCAAACGGUAACGGAGGCGCACAAAGGUUUCCUCUGAACGGGUAGAAAUCGUAUCUAGAGUGUAAAGGCAUAAGGAAGCUUGACUGUGAGACCUACAAGUCGAGCAGGGACGAAAGUCGGUCUUAGUGAUCUGACGGUGCUGAGUGGAAAGGCCGUCACUCAACGGAUAAAAGUUACUCUAAGGAUAACAGGCUGAUCUCCCCCAAGAGUUCACAUCGACGGGGAGGUUUGGCACCUCGAUGUCGGCUCAUCGCAUCCUGGGGCGGUAGUACGUCCCAAGGGUUGGGCUGUUCGCCCAUGAAAGCGGUACGCGAGCUGGGUUCAGAACGUCGUGAGACAGUUCGGUCCAUAUCCGGUGUAGGCGUUAGAAUAUUGAGAGGAGCCUUCUUUAGUACGAGAGGACCGAGAAGGACAUACCUCUGGUGUACCAGUUAUCGUGCCAACGGUAAACGCUGGGUAGCUAUGUAUGGAGUGGAUAACCGCUGAAAGCAUCUAAGUGGGAAGCCCACCUCAAGAUAAG
This 1235-nucleotide ribosomal RNA is filed under the name metagenome. Its description in RNAcentral is "bacterial LSU rRNA". It matches the Rfam family "Bacterial large subunit ribosomal RNA", at positions 1564 to 2808 of the family's 2925-position model. The record is from RNAcentral.